UUAAAGAAUGGCCUUGGACCAGAAAAAAAGAACUAGUCCCUGAUUUUAUAAGAAACAAGUAAUUGGGCUCUAAGGCUUAAUGAAGAACAAUGCAGUUAGUUGAUCAUGGCAAUGAAGUCUCUCUUCUGAAGCCUGUCUCAAAUCAAUUCAAGCAAUAAAAGAAAGUUAGAUUUAUAACUGGCAAUGACUGAAUGUAGAGGGUUGAUGUCACAAAGACUAUCUCCACCUCUUCGUUAAGAAUUUUGUUUAGUGUCAACUUUAUUCACUGAGGGUACUUCCUCAAAAGGCUGAACCCAGGAAUGCUGGGAGCUUUUGGUUAACACCUUUAGACUAUUAGAAUCUGAAGAAGACUGCGAGCGAUCUGAAUGCAACACUCGGAGCACUCAAAUGUGAGCAGAAAUACAGCUUUUCAUGUAAACUAAGUGAAGAAGGGUCUUGCUUUGUUGCCCAGCCUAGCGUGCAGUGGUGUGACUCUAGCUCACUACAGCCUCUGACCUCCCAGGCAUAAGUGAUCCUCCUGCCUCAGCCUCCCACCAUCAGGACUGCAGGGAUGCGCCACUACAAUCAGUGAAUAUUUUUAAAAUUUAUUUUUGUGCAGAGACCGGGCCUUACUAUGUUGCCCAGGCUGG
This 629-nucleotide long non-coding RNA is filed under the name Homo sapiens (human). RNAcentral's name for it is "HSALNT0356733". Lineage: Eukaryota; Metazoa; Chordata; Mammalia; Primates; Hominidae. The record is from RNAcentral.